AGCGAACGCUGGCGGCAGGCCUAACACAUGCAAGUCGAACGAACUCUUCGGAGUUAGUGGCGGACGGGUGAGUAACACGUGGGAACGUGCCUUUAGGUUCGGAAUAACUCAGGGAAACUUGUGCUAAUACCGAAUGUGCCCUUCGGGGGAAAGAUUUAUCGCCUUUAGAGCGGCCCGCGUCUGAUUAGCUAGUUGGUGAGGUAAAGGCUCACCAAGGCGACGAUCAGUAGCUGGUCUGAGAGGAUGAUCAGCCACAUUGGGACUGAGACACGGCCCAAACUCCUACGGGAGGCAGCAGUGGGGAAUCUUGCGCAAUGGGCGAAAGCCUGACGCAGCCAUGCCGCGUGAAUGAUGAAGGUCUUAGGAUUGUAAAAUUCUUUCACCGGGGACGAUAAUGACGGUACCCGGAGAAGAAGCCACGGCUAACUUCGU
RNAcentral lists this ribosomal RNA (432 nucleotides) under uncultured bacterium. RNAcentral describes it as "partial 16S ribosomal RNA". It matches the Rfam family "Bacterial small subunit ribosomal RNA", at positions 29 to 506 of the family's 1533-position model. The record is from RNAcentral.